CGUUUCUAAACAUACUCCACGUGUCAAAACGAGGACCAGUGCAGAUAAAUAUCCCCUCCACUGUCCCUUCAAAUCUUGAGCUGUUACAGUAACCGCAAGCUCCAACCAGAGCAGAGGAAGAAGAAGAAGAAGAGCCACGAUGAGUGGCAGAGCUCUUGUUUUCUCUUUCUCUCCUCCUUCACCCUCUUCCCCUUCACGCAGAACCACCCACUUCAACCAUGCAACUUCCACCACCUCCUCCAGUACUUCACUGUUCCCUUUACACUUGCGGAGCUGCCUCGUCUUCCGUGUUACCGGCAGAAGGGGCGGUGGUGGAAAGGUGUGGGCGGAUGUCAAGUCGGAGAAGCACGCGCACGAAUCAUCCAGCUUGCAUGAGGAUGUUGCCCUUGAGAAGAAGGUCCCUGGUUUGGAUGAUGUGGAGGAGCUGGAAGAAGUUGCAGCAGCGUGGUGGCAAGUGUUUCCUAAGAGAUGGGUCAUCGUCAUCCUCUGCUUCUCUGCGUUUCUCCUUUGUAACAUGGACAGAGUAAAUAUGAGCAUUGCUAUACUUCCUAUGUCAGCAGAGUACAACUGGAGCCCCAGCACUGUCGGUUUAAUACAGUCUUCAUUCUUUUGGGGAUACCUCCUCACUCAGAUUGCUGGUGGAGUAUGGGCAGACAAAGUAGGGGGAAAGCAGGUAUUAGGAUUUGGAGUGGUUUGGUGGUCUGUUGCGACUAUUCUCACUCCUGUAGCUGCCAAACUUGGGUUGCCUUUCCUACUAGUUGCUCGUGCGCUAAUGGGGAUUGGUGAGGGUGUUGCUAUGCCAGCCAUGAAUAAUAUUCUAUCUAAAUGGGUUCCUGUGGCAGAGAGAAGUAGAUCACUAGCGCUUGUCUACAGUGGCAUGUACCUAGGAUCAGUUACUGGACUGGCCUUUUCACCCUUCCUAAUUCAUCAGUUUGGAUGGCCAUCAGUAUUUUACUCCUUUGGUUCUCUAGGGACGGUUUGGUUUUCUGUGUGGCUUAGUAAGGCACAUAGUUCACCUCUUGAAGAUCCUGAAUUGCGGCCUGAAGAAAAGAAGUUGAUUCCUACCAAUAGUUUUUCCAAGGAACCAUUGAAAGAAAUACCUUGGGGAUUAAUCUUGUCAAAAGCACCUGUCUGGGCCCUGAUAGUGUCCCAUUUUUGCCAUAACUGGGGAACUUUCAUUCUUCUAACAUGGAUGCCAACAUACUAUAAUCAAGUUUUGAAGUUCAACCUUACAGAAUCGGGGCUGUUUUGUGUUUUACCGUGGUUUACAAUGGCACUUUCUGCAAAUCUUGGAGGUUGGAUUGCAGACACUCUUGUCAGCAAAGGUGUAUCAGUUACAACGGUCCGCAAGAUUAUGCAAACAGUUGGGUUUCUUGGCCCUGCUUUCUUCUUAACUCAAUUGAGCCACAUUCAUUCUCCUGUAAUGGCUGUUUUGUGUAUGACUUGCAGUCAGGGAACUGAUGCAUUCUCACAGUCUGGAUUGUAUUCAAACCAUCAAGAUAUAGCCCCUCGAUAUUCUGUGAGUGGAAUCAUUGUACCUAUAAUUUUCGGCAACAUGGACUCUAUAUUUGAUUUGUGGAAUAAGAAUGCGACAAAUAUUUUUAUUAUAUGGGAUAUUGCUUGGUCUAUCUAAUACUGCUGGAGUGCUGGCUGGUGUCCUUGGAACUGCAGCAACAGGUUACAUUCUGCAGCAUGGCUCCUGGGAUGAUGUUUUCAAGGUUUCAGUAGGGCUAUAUUUGGUUGGAACUGUGGUGUGGAACCUUUUUUCAACUGGUGAAAGGAUCUUGGAAUAAUUCACUGUCACUGAUCAUUGGAACUUGGCUUAUGUAUAGAAAAACUUUGAGUAGUUUCCCACAGAAGAAGAAGGACAAGGAGAAGAAAAGAAGGUUUAACCACGAAGCAACUCAAUUUACUUGGAACUUCCAAAAUGGUAAUUUUUUGUGGAUAGAGAGAGCAUUGAACAUUGAUUAGAGGGAUGACAUGUGCCCUUGUCCUUGAAAGGUGAAUUGGCAUAAUUUAAUCCCUGAUGUUUUACCAAGGGCUGCUCUCAUCUUUCUGUUUUUGGUGGGAAUCUAGUUCAUGAUCUUUGCUCAAUUAAUUUAGCAUCAUACAUACGUGUAAAUAUGAAUUCCAAAAUUUCCAAACCAACACAUCAAUUUUGUGACAAGUAAUGUAAUUUAUGCAGUAUCAUUCAUGAAGGUUCUUGUCUUUCCAA
This is an RNA transcript of Lotus japonicus, 2215 nucleotides long. It is a transcript of the gene named sodium-dependent phosphate transport protein 1, chloroplastic, with no coding region annotated. The record is from RefSeq and is a predicted model, not a curated record. The transcript has 10 exons. Lineage: Eukaryota; Viridiplantae; Streptophyta; Magnoliopsida; Fabales; Fabaceae.